UACGAAGGGGGCUAGCGUUGCUCGGAAUCACUGGGCGUAAAGCGCACGUAGGCGGACUCUUAAGUCGGUGGUGAAAUCCUGGAGCUCAACUCCAGAACUGCCUUUGAUACUGAGGAUCUUGAGUUCGGGAGAGGUGAGUGGAACUGCGAGUGUAGAGGUGAAAAUUCGUAGAUAUUCGCAAGAACACCAGUGGCGAAGGCGGCUCACUGGCCCGAUACUGACGCUGAGGCACGAAAGCGUGGGGAGCAAACAGG
Molecule: ribosomal RNA, 254 nt
Filed under: uncultured bacterium
Lineage: Bacteria
Description: partial 16S ribosomal RNA
Rfam family: Bacterial small subunit ribosomal RNA
Source: RNAcentral